GUGGGGAAUAUUGGACAAUGGGCGCAAGCCUGAUCCAGCCAUGCCGCGUGAGUGAUGAAGGCCCUAGGGUUGUAAAGCUCUUUCACCGGAGAAGAUAAUGACGGUAUCCGGAGAAGAAGCCCCGGCUAACUUCGUGCCAGCAGCCGCGGUAAUACGAAGGGGGCUAGCGUUGUUCGGAAUUACUGGGCGUAAAGCGCACGUAGUCGGACAUUUAAGUCAGGGGUGAAAUCCCGGGGCUCAACCCCGGAACUGCCUUUGAUACUGGGUGUCUGGAGUAUGGAAGAGGUAAGUGGAAUUCCGAGUGUAGAGGUGAAAUUCGUAGAUAUUCGGAGGAACACCAGUGGCGAAGGCGGCUUACUGGUCCAUUACUGACGCUGAGGUGCGAAAGCGUGGGGAGCAAACAGGAUUAGAAACCCCGGUAGUCC
This 425-nucleotide ribosomal RNA is filed under the name uncultured bacterium. Its description in RNAcentral is "partial 16S ribosomal RNA". It matches the Rfam family "Bacterial small subunit ribosomal RNA", at positions 354 to 796 of the family's 1533-position model. The record is from RNAcentral.